GCUAAACAAAUCUGGAAAUAGCUGGUUCUCUCCGAAAACUAUUUAGGUAGUGCCUCAAGUAUUACUGCAGGGGGUAGAGCACUGUUAUGGCUAGGGGGUCAUGGCGACUUACCAAACCAUGGCAAACUCCGAAUACCUGCAAGUACAGCUUGGGAGACAGAGCACCGGGUGCUAACGUCCGGACUCAAGAGGGAAACAACCCAGACCGCCAGCUAAGGUCCCGAAUUAUCGCUAAGUGGGAAACGAAGUGGGAAGGCAUAGACAGUCAGGAGGUUGGCUUAGAAGCAGCCACCCUUUAAAGAAAGCGUAAUAGCUCACUGAUCGAGUCGUCCUGCGCGGAAGAUGUAACGGGGCUAAGCGAUAAACCGAAGCUGCGGGUGUGCACUUUUAGUGCACGCGGUAGGAGAGCGUUCUGUAAGCCUGCGAAGGUGGCUUGUAAAGGCUGCUGGAGGUAUCAGAAGUGCGAAUGCUGACAUGAGUAGCGAUAAAGGGGGUGAAAAGCCCCCUCGCCGUAAGUCCAAGGUUUCCUGCGCAACGUUCAUCGGCGCAGGGUGAGUCGGCCCCUAAGGCGAGGCAGAGAUGCGUAGCUGAUGGGAAGCUGGUUAAUAUUCCAGCACCGUCGUACAGUGCGAUGGGGGGACGGAUCGCGGAAGGUCAUCAGGGUGUUGGAUGUCCCUGUUGCUGCAUUGAAGAUGGCGCUUAGGCAAAUCCGGGCGCGAGAAUCAAGGGUGUGGCACGAGCGAGCAAGUCUCGCGAAGUGAUUGGAAGUGGUUCCAAGAAAAGCCUCUAAGCUUCAGCUGUACGAGACCGUACCGCAAACCGACACAGGUGGACGGGAUGAAUAUUCCAAGGCGCUUGAGAGAACUCAGGAGAAGGAACUCGGCAAAUUGAUACCGUAACUUCGGGAGAAGGUAUACCCUGGUAGUGUGAAGCGCCUGCGCGCUGAGCAUGAAGGGGUCGCAGAGAAUCGGUGGCUGCGACUGUUUAUUAAAACACAGCACUCUGCAAAGACGAAAGUCGACGUAUAGGGUGUGACGCCUGCCCGGUGCCGGAAGGUUAAGUGAUGGGGUGCAAGCUCUUGAUCGAAGCCCCGGUAAACGGCGGCCGUAACUAUAACGGUCCUAAGGUAGCGAAAUUCCUUGUCGGGUAAGUUCCGACCUGCACGAAUGGCGUAACGAUGGCCACACUGUCUCCUCCUGAGACUCAGCGAAGUUGAAGUGUUUGUGAUGAUGCAAUCUACCCGCGGCUAGACGGAAAGACCCCAUGAACCUUUACUGUAGCUUUGCAUUGGACUGUGAACCGGCCUGUGUAGGAUAGGUGGGAGGCGCAGAACUCGAGUCGCCAGAUUCGAGGGAGCCAUCCUUGAAAUACCACCCUGGUUUGUUUGCGGUUCUAACCUUGGUCCGUUAUCCGGAUCGGGGACAGUGCAUGGUAGGCAGUUUGACUGGGGCGGUCUCCUCCCAAAGCGUAACGGAGGAGUUCGAAGGUACGCUAGGUACGGUCGGAAAUCGUGCUGAUAGUGCAAUGGCAUAAGCGUGCUUGACUGUGAGACUGACAAGUCGAACAGGUGCGAAAGCAGGACAUAGUGAUCCGGUGGUUCUGAAUGGAAGGGCCAUCGCUCAACGGAUAAAAGGUACUCUGGGGAUAACAGGCUGAUACCGCCCAAGAGUUCAUAUCGACGGCGGUGUUUGGCACCUCGAUGUCGGCUCAUCUCAUCCUGGGGCUGUAGCCGGUCCCAAGGGUAUGGCUGUUCGCCAUUUAAAGAGGUACGUGAGCUGGGUUUAAAACGUCGUGAGACAGUUUGGUCCCUAUCUGCCGUGGGCGUUGGAUACUUGACGGAGCCUGCUCCUAGUACGAGAGGACCGGAGUGGACGUACCUCUGGUGUACCGGUUGUCAUGCCAAUGGCAUUGCCGGGUAGCUAAGUACGGAAGAGAUAACCGCUGAAGGCAUCUAAGCGGGAAACUCGUCUGAAGAUUAGGUAUCCCGGGGACUAGAUCCCCCUGAAGGGUCGUUCGAGACCAGGACGUUGAUAGGUCGGGUGUGGAAGCGCAGUAAUGCGUUAAGCUAACCGAUACUAAUUGCCCGUGAGGCUUGAUC
This 2098-nucleotide ribosomal RNA is filed under the name Bordetella bronchiseptica MBORD632. RNAcentral describes it as "bacterial LSU rRNA". It matches the Rfam family "Bacterial large subunit ribosomal RNA", at positions 828 to 2925 of the family's 2925-position model. The record is from RNAcentral. Lineage: Bacteria; Pseudomonadati; Pseudomonadota; Betaproteobacteria; Burkholderiales; Alcaligenaceae.